Non-coding RNA from Bos taurus (domestic cattle), 73 nucleotides. Lineage: Eukaryota; Metazoa; Chordata; Mammalia; Artiodactyla; Bovidae. The record is from Rfam.
CCCCUGGUGGUCCAGUGGUUAGGACUCAGCACUUUGACUGCCAUGGGCCUGGGUUCAAUCCCUGGUCAGGGAA